This 245-nucleotide ribosomal RNA is filed under the name uncultured bacterium. RNAcentral's name for it is "partial 16S ribosomal RNA". It matches the Rfam family "Bacterial small subunit ribosomal RNA", at positions 15 to 249 of the family's 1533-position model. The record is from RNAcentral.
GAUCCUGGCUCAGGAUGAACGCUAGCUACAGGCUUAACACAUGCAAGUCGAGGGGCAGCAUUUUAGUUUGCUUGCAAACUGAAGAUGGCGACCGGCGCACGGGUGAGUAACACGUAUCCAACCUGCCGAUAACUCCGGAAUAGCCUUUCGAAAGAAAGAUUAAUACCGGAUAGCAUACGAAUAUCGCAUGAUAUUUUUAUUAAAGAAUUUCGGUUAUCGAGUGGGGAUGCGUUCCAUUAGUUUGG